RNAcentral lists this ribosomal RNA (368 nucleotides) under uncultured organism. RNAcentral describes it as "bacterial SSU rRNA". It matches the Rfam family "Bacterial small subunit ribosomal RNA", at positions 526 to 896 of the family's 1533-position model. The record is from RNAcentral.
CGUAGGUGGCAAGCGUUGUCCGGAUUUAUUGGGUUUAAAGGGUGCGUAGGCGGCCUAUUAAGUCAGUGCUGAAAUAUCCCGGCUUAACCGGGAGGGUGGCAUUGAUACUGAUGGGCUUGAGUGAAGUCGAGGUAGGCGGAAUUGACGGUGUAGCGGUGAAAUGCUUAGAUAUCGUCAAGAACACCGAUAGUGUAGACAGCUUACUAGGCUUAUACUGACGCUGAGGCACGAAAGUGUGGGGAUCGAAACAGGAUUAGAUACCCUGGUAGUCCACACUGUAAACGUUGAUGACUCGCUGUUGGCGAUACACAGUCAGCGGCUGAGAGAAAUCGUUAAGUCAUCCACCUGGGGAUACGCCGGCAACGGUG